GCAGACCCCUCGUGUGGCGUCAUCCUCGUGAACCUCCCCAGGGCCGGAAGGCAGCAAGGAUAAGCGGGCUCUGGCGGGUGCGCGAGGGGUCCUCUUG
RNAcentral lists this signal recognition particle RNA (97 nucleotides) under Pseudofrankia sp. EUN1h. Its description in RNAcentral is "Frankia sp. EUN1h signal recognition particle sRNA small type". It matches the Rfam family "Bacterial small signal recognition particle RNA". From Rfam's summary of the family: The signal recognition particle (SRP) is a universally conserved ribonucleoprotein involved in the co-translational targeting of proteins to membranes. Archaeal SRP consists of a 7S RNA and homologues of the eukaryotic SRP19 and SRP54 proteins. Lineage: Bacteria; Bacillati; Actinomycetota; Actinomycetes; Frankiales; Frankiaceae. The record is from RNAcentral.